RNAcentral lists this ribosomal RNA (752 nucleotides) under uncultured Capnocytophaga sp. Its description in RNAcentral is "bacterial SSU rRNA". It matches the Rfam family "Bacterial small subunit ribosomal RNA", at positions 28 to 776 of the family's 1533-position model. The record is from RNAcentral. Lineage: Bacteria; Pseudomonadati; Bacteroidota; Flavobacteriia; Flavobacteriales; Flavobacteriaceae.
GAUGAACGCUAGCGGCAGGCCUAACACAUGCAAGUCGAGGGAGAGGUUACCUUCGGGUAACCAAAACCGGCGCACGGGUGCGUAACGCGUAUACAAUCUGCCUUUCACAUAGGGAUAGCCCGAAGAAAUUUGGAUUAAUACCUAAUGGUAUAUAAGAGCGGCAUCGUUUUUAUAUUAAAGCUACGGUGGUGAAAGAUGAGUAUGCGUUCUAUUAGCUAGUUGGAGAGGUAACGGCUCCCCAAGGCGACGAUAGAUAGGGGCUCUGAGAGGGAUGUCCCCCACACUGGUACUGAGAUACGGACCAGACUCCUACGGGAGGCAGCAGUGAGGAAUAUUGGACAAUGGUCGGAAGACUGAUCCAGCCAUGCCGCGUGCAGGAUGAAGGUCCUAUGGAUUGUAAACUGCUUUUGUAAGGGAAGAAUAAGGAGUACGUGUACUUUGAUGACGGUACCUUACGAAUAAGCAUCGGCUAACUCCGUGCCAGCAGCCGCGGUAAUACGGAGGAUGCGAGCGUUAUCCGGAAUCAUUGGGUUUAAAGGGUCCGUAGGCGGGCUGAUAAGUCAGAGGUGAAAGCGCUUAGCUCAACUAAGCAACUGCCUUUGAAACUGUCAGUCUUGAAUGAUUGUGAAGUAGUUGGAAUGUGUAGUGUAGCGGUGAAAAUGCUUAAAUAUUACACAGAACACCGAUAGCGAAGGCAUAUUACUAAUAAUUUAUUGACGCUGAUGGGACGAAAGCGUGGGGGAGCAGACAGG